RNAcentral lists this ribosomal RNA (253 nucleotides) under uncultured bacterium. RNAcentral's name for it is "partial 16S ribosomal RNA". It matches the Rfam family "Bacterial small subunit ribosomal RNA", at positions 524 to 776 of the family's 1533-position model. The record is from RNAcentral.
UACGGAGGGUGCAAGCGUUAUCCGGAUUCACUGGGUUUAAAGGGUGCGUAGGUGGGGAGGUAAGUCAGUGGUGAAAUCCCCGAGCUUAACUUGGGAACUGCCAUUGAUACUAGCUCUCUUGAAUACCUUGGAGGUGAGCGGAAUAUGUCAUGUAGCGGUGAAAUGCUUAGAUAUGACAUAGAACACCAAUUGCGAAGGCAGCUCACUACACGGUAAUUGACACUGAGGCACGAAAGCGUGGGGAUCAAACAGG